Molecule: long non-coding RNA, 2332 nt
Organism: Zalophus californianus (California sea lion)
Lineage: Eukaryota; Metazoa; Chordata; Mammalia; Carnivora; Otariidae
Exons: 5
Source: RefSeq, a predicted model, not a curated record
GAGCAGCGGGGACGCCCAGUGGGUGCCGCGCCAUGGCGCGAGAGCUCGCCGGGGCGCAGCGGCGCGUGCGCACGAAGGUCUCGCGGUCUCCCGUGGAGGGGGCCGAGGGGCGGGCUGAGGGACCGGCCGGGGGAGUGAGGGUCAGCGGCGCAGAGGAGUAGGUUCCACGCCCAGCAUGGAGCCCAAUACAGAGCUUGAACUCAUGACACUGAGAUCAGGACCUGAGCUGAGAUCAAGAUUCAGACGCUUAAGCAACCCAGGUGCCCCGAAAAUUCUUCUAACUGAACAUGUAUGGAUUUUAUUUAUUUACUUGAGAGAGAGAGAAAGCAUGAGAGAAGACGUGAGAAGGAGCAAGAGCGCAAGCAGGUGGGAGGGGCAGAGGGAGAAGCAGACUCCUCGCCGAGCAGGGAGCACAACGUGGGACUCCAUCCCAGGACCCUGGGAUCAUGACCUGAACCGAAGGCAAUCACUUAACCGACUGAGCCACCCAGUUUGGAGACUUCUGAUCAAUUACAUACAACUGGCUUUCAUGGACCAACAUCUUUAAAGGCCAUUUGGAAGCUUCAAACAGGUGCUGAUAUUUCUUGAUGGAUGAUGAAGAGAUUUCGAGCAAAGGUCAUGAGGACCCCCUGGAGAUCUUCACCGAUUGUUCUGUUAAUGAUAUCCAAACAAAUGAGUUUACCAACGAUUCCCCUCACAUGCUUAAAAACAAUCACCCUCUCAUUUGUGCCUGUCUGGUGGUGGAAUUUAAUGAGUAUUUUCAAUCUCACAAGGUGGCAAUCUUCAGGGAGAUAGGAAAGAUGAGGCUCCAUUUCAACUUGUCAACAAAGAGGAUUUGUGUAAUAAAUAUUUUUUAUUAAUCAACUUAGGAGAAUGUAAGAAUAGCUUCAGUCAUUCCUAGCAAAAGGCUACCACUGAGCUAGGACGGUAGUAUUAGUUCAUUUAAAAAAUUGUUGAAAUCAGAUUAUAAGAGAAUUGUUGCUAAAUAUAAUUCAUACCUAACAGUUUCCUUGCCUACAGAGAUAUUUGCACCUCAGUAUUCUGGAGACUGGGGCUUAUUUUCUAUUUCAGGUAUACAAGCAAUUCCUGCUAUUUAUGAGUAUGCUCCAUCCAUGUUCCUAGGAGAAUGUGUCCCAUUCCUGAACAGCCAGCUUUAUAAAGCUUUAUAAAGCUGAACACACACUUGAAGGUUUCAGAGACAACACUGUGGCCAGUGAACAUUCCCAAACAACUAGGUUGUUUUAAGUUUUAGCUUUGCAAAACUUUGCAAAACUGCAGAGUUUAUCUUCUUAUUUUGUGAACUUUCUGUAUCAAAGGGAAAAAAUGGAUUAAAUGAAUGGAUUGAUUUUUAAGAAUUGUUCUGUCUUGAGGGUAUGAAACUAAAGAGCUGGCUCUUAAGGUAACUGCAAAGAACUUUGGGUUACUUCCUUCCCUGUUGUUGCCUGUAAAAUAAGUCAUUUUGGAGUGUAAGGCUUAAAUCCUUUUGGAAUGGCUGCCUUCCAGCCUGAUUAGGUUUUCCCAUAGGUCAGGCUGGGAGCAGAAAGCUUCCCAGGCCCCAGGCAGGAGACUGUUUGUCCUGCCACCGGCAGUGUGACUUUGGGGAGAAAGCUACUUAAACUCUCUGGGUUCUUCAUUAUUUUUUUUUCUGAAAUGAAGGGGUUGGAUUGGAUUAGUGCUUCCAAACUUUUGGAGUUACAGUCCCCAGUCCAAGAACUGCCCACCCUUACUUCUCAUAGUUACUGAACAUUAGUAUCUAUUGCCUCUUUUAAGAGAAUAAUAGCCAAAGGCAACUUAAGAGUCAAUAAUUUUUAAAAGUGAUUUGUACUUUAUUGCCACAUAGUCAAUAUGUCAGUAUGUAUUAGACCCUGGUGCUUUUUUUUUUUUGUUCUUAAAGAUUUUAUUUAUUUAUUUAUUUAUUUGACAGAGAGAGCCAGAGAGUACAAGCAGGGGGAGUGGCAAAGGGAGAAGGAGAAGCAGGCUCCCAGCUGAGCAGGGAGCCCAAUGUGGGGCUUAAUCCCAGGACCCUGGGAUCAGACCUGAGCCGGAGUUAGUAGCUUAACCAACUGAGCCACCCAGGUGCCCUAGACCCUGGUGCUUCUUAAAACAGCAGAUUCCUAGGGUCUACCUUAGAUCAACAAAAUCAGAUUCUUUGGGUUUGGGAUCCAGGAAUGUAUAGUUUCACUGAAAUCCUCAGUUGAUUCAUGUGUGUGGUGUGUGGUGUGUGGUGUGUGGUGUGUGUGUGUGUGUGUGAUUGAGGCCCAUACUUAAAAUUAGUGUGUUUAUGUGUGUGUGUAUGAUCCUGGGUCCACACAUGGAUUCAUGCCCCGCUUGU